Molecule: transfer RNA, 67 nt
Filed under: Bavayia goroensis
Lineage: Eukaryota; Metazoa; Chordata; Lepidosauria; Squamata; Diplodactylidae
Description: tRNA-Tyr
Source: RNAcentral
GUAGAGUGGCCGAGAGUAGGUGGCAGGCUGUAGUCCUGCAUACAUAGGUAUUAGUCCCGUUUCUAUC